GAUGAGCGCUGGCGGCGUGCCUAAUACAUGCAAGUCGAGCGAACAGACGAGGAGCUUGCUCCUCUGACGUUAGCGGCGGACGGGUGAGUAACACGUGGAUAACCUACCUAUAAGACUGGGAUAACUUCGGGAAACCGGAGCUAAUACCGGAUAAUAUAUUGAACCGCAUGGUUCAAUAGUGAAAGACGGUUUUGCUGUCACUUAUAGAUGGAUCCGCGCCGCAUUAGCUAGUUGGUAAAGUAACGGCUUACCAAGGCAACGAUGCGUAGCCGACCUGAGAGGGUGAUCGGCCACACUGGAACUGAGACACGGUCCAGACUCCUACGGGAGGCAGCAGUAGGGAAUCUUCCGCAAUGGGCGAAAGCUUGACGGAGCAACGCCGCGUGAGUGAUGAAGGUCUUCGGAUCGUAAAACUCUGUUAUUAGGGAAGAACAAAUGUGUAAGUAACUAUGCACGUCUUGACGGUACCUAAUCAGAAAGCCACGGCUAACUACGUG
RNAcentral lists this ribosomal RNA (497 nucleotides) under uncultured bacterium. RNAcentral's name for it is "partial 16S ribosomal RNA". It matches the Rfam family "Bacterial small subunit ribosomal RNA", at positions 28 to 507 of the family's 1533-position model. The record is from RNAcentral.